CAAUCACAUUAUGUCCUUAUUAUAUUGCUGUCAAGUAAGCACUACUGGACGGAAGUGUAAUGAGGGUAAAAUUGUGAAA
Molecule: microRNA precursor, 79 nt
Filed under: Schmidtea mediterranea
Lineage: Eukaryota; Metazoa; Platyhelminthes; Tricladida; Dugesiidae
Description: microRNA sme-mir-748 precursor
Gene: sme-mir-748
Source: miRBase by way of RNAcentral